Molecule: long non-coding RNA, 1516 nt
Organism: Cyprinus carpio carpio
Lineage: Eukaryota; Metazoa; Chordata; Actinopteri; Cypriniformes; Cyprinidae
Source: Ensembl
AGGGAUGAGUGGAUAACGUAUUUCUAUAAAAAAAAAUUUGUAUUUUUAUGUUAGUUCAUGCACAUAAUUUAAACUAUUCACACGUAAAAAAAAAAAAAUCUAAACAUGUUUUAGUUCAUUAACCUUCAAGUAGUCUAAUUUAUGAUUUAUGAACUUAAUUUAUAGUCCUUUAGAGUUGAUUUGUUGAAAUUGUUUUUAUUAUAACCAGUAGGGGUCUCCUUUGAGCCUAAAUAAAGUUACUGAUCACGUGGAGUGAAACAGUCUUUAUAAAACAGAGCAUUGAGUUUGUGUUCGUUUAAAGUGGUUCAUUCUACACAUCCUGUUCAGACCUCACACACACUGCUGUUCAUUCAUGUCAUUCCUCCAGCACUGAAGCAUCAACAUGAUAUUUAUAGUGUGCUUCAUUUAUUUAGCAGCACCUCCAUUCUGGGUCUCAGGUGAAUCACUAAGUGAUCAAGUUCGUCAGAAUCCACCUCAUCUGAUAACAAGAGCUGAGAAAACAGUUCAGCUCAGCUGUUCUCACAAAAUUAAAGACUAUUACAUGAUAUUAUGGUAUCAGCAGCUGAAGGGUGACAGUGCACUUAAUCUUAUUGGAAAUGUGUAUUACACAAAUCCAACCACCGAAAACCAAUAUAAAAAUCAGUUUACCAUCGGAGGAAAUGGAGCAGAAUCCUCUACUCUUAAUGUAACAUUAGAAAGAGAACAUGUUGGGAGUACUGCAGUAUAUUACUGUGCUGCCAGUAAAGCACAGUGUGGAAGAUCCUUUAAUCACUCUUACAAAAACCUUCUGUUAAACCCUGUCACCACAACAUUAUUAGCACCUGAAUGCACCCAUACACCCCCAAACAUGAUCACUCAGUGCACCCAUAUUAAGUUGUUGUAUGAUUAAUAUUAAAUUAAAAAUUAAAAAUUUAAUUUAUGCAUUUAGCAGAUGCUUUUAUCCAAAGCGACUUACAGUGCAUUCAGGCUAUCAAUUUUUACCUAUCAUGUAUUUCCAGGGAUCAAACCCCCAACCUUGCACUUGUUAACGCAAUGCUCUACCACUUGAGCUACAGAAACAGAUAUUAUACGCUAUUAUGUCACUAAGCAUUUAAUUCAUAUAUACAAUUAUAAAUUUUAUUGUUUUUAAAAUAAUUUCAUAUAUAAUUCAGCUAUCUCCAUUGCUGUUAAUUGCUUGCCUUAUCCGUUACUUAUUAUUUUUUGACACUUGUAUUUUUUAAAGUGUAAAGUGAAAUUGAUGAUGCAGUCACUGUAAUUCUUAUCAUGCAUCUACAACGUACAUGCGUUCAUUUAUUUAUUUUUAUUUAUUUUUUGAAUGAGGGACUAAUCUAUUCCAGCAUUAUAUGUCCAUUCCACUAGAUGUCCUCACAGAAAACUCUAGCUACUGAGUUUCUUGACUCAUAAAAACUAAAAUCUUCUUCUAUUACAGUAUGUAAACAAAAAUAACUUAUUUAAAUUGUUAUUUAUUUAUUUAUUAUUUUUUUAAGAAUCAUUGAGACUAAUUGUUUUUAAUUAA